This 1128-nucleotide long non-coding RNA is filed under the name Parus major (Great Tit). RNAcentral's name for it is "lncRNA (ENSPMJG00000015893.1)". Lineage: Eukaryota; Metazoa; Chordata; Aves; Passeriformes; Paridae. The record is from RNAcentral.
GGAAUUUCCUUUUUUAUGUGUUUAAUUCCCAAGCAGCUGGAGUGUUAGAAGCAUAAAAAGGUGAGCUCAAAUAAUCAUUCAUUCAUUAGAAUGAAUGAUUAUUUGACUAUAUCUAAUCACAGCCUACGGAAUUCAACACAAGCUAUUAUUAUCUUUACAGCUGGGUAAUACUGUGGCUACUCUACCAAAUGAAUAAGCUAUUCAAGCUUGCCACAAGAGCUGUAAGAGACUGGCCCUAGAUAUCCAUCAGCAUCAGCACCACAGCUUCCUCAGCAGAUGUCCCCAGAACCAUCACUGGGGUCAUGGCCAAGAAUAAUACUGAGAGGGAGACAAUGCUUGUCCAGCUUAAGAACUUGUUCUCCACCCACUAUUCUGGAAUAGGAGAGUCCACACAUGGAGUUAAUCAGGGGAAGUGGGAUAAAUCCUUUGCCUACAACUAACACAGCUACAGCCUGUACACCUCUUUCCCAGAGAUUGGCUGCCAGGACAGCUCCUCAGAGAAGGCCAUGGCCCCAACAAGUAGGAAAGAGUCUGUACCUUCAGGCAAGUUUUGCUCUUCAGAUAUAAUUGCAGCAACAGCUCUGCAAACUUUCGUGUUAUCAACUUGUUAUAUCAGAAUAAAGCAAAAGAGUACAAGUUUCAAAAAAAACUUCUCCAUCAGACCAGUGAAAAAUAGAAUUGGGAAGCAUAGAUGCCCAUGGAAAAAAGGGAAAACAAAGCACUGAGGGAGUGGAGGACAGAGGCCCUGAAGAUGUGUGCAAAUGGUCUCCAUAGGAAUGAACUUCAGCUAAAGACAUUGGCUAAAUCAGCAUGAAUUACAAUGAGAAGCCAGGAUUUCUAAAAUCUUAAUAGGCAUAUUUAGCUACCUCUUAUUAUCUACUUCCUCUUAUUCAGAGCAAAUGAUCACAGAUAAAUCACAGAUCUACACAUUUUGCACAUGAUGUAAAAAUUGUGGAAAUAAUUGAACAGGAAUAUGAGGAGCAUAUAGACAAAUUUUAAUUGCUUGUCUUAUUGCUCCUGCCUGCUGCUAAGUUUGAACCCUUGAAUCCUCUGUUCUUCUAAUCAAUACAGGAAUACAAAAUGUGCCUUUUGUUUAGGAAGUCACUAGUACAUCAGCUUCAACUGAAG